This 71-nucleotide transfer RNA is filed under the name Loxodonta africana (African savanna elephant). It matches the Rfam family "tRNA". From Rfam's summary of the family: Transfer RNA (tRNA) molecules are approximately 80 nucleotides in length. The record is from Rfam by way of RNAcentral. Lineage: Eukaryota; Metazoa; Chordata; Mammalia; Proboscidea; Elephantidae.
GCAUUGGUAGUUCAGUGGUAGAGUUCUCACCUUCUAUGCAGCAGACCUGGGUUCAAUUCCCAGCCAAUGCA